Passer montanus (Eurasian tree sparrow) is the source of this 197-nucleotide long non-coding RNA. RefSeq lists it as uncharacterized. The transcript has 3 exons. The record is from RefSeq and is a predicted model, not a curated record. NCBI's taxonomy places the organism in Eukaryota, Metazoa, Chordata, Aves, Passeriformes, Passeridae.
AACAAAGCUACCCAGUCAAGGAUGCAUUUGAGGAGGCCCUACUCUUGGCUGAUUCCAGGGAGCCACUUCAUUAUUCUGACUUGAAAUUUCUUCAUCUCCAAAAUCAGAGGAAGAAUGCACAUCACAGUCCUGCUCUGACAACAUAGGCCCAGGGAAAUGAAGAAGAGCAAUUUUUACAUUAUUGUAAACUGCAAAAA